Mastomys coucha (southern multimammate mouse) is the source of this 422-nucleotide long non-coding RNA. RefSeq lists it as uncharacterized. Lineage: Eukaryota; Metazoa; Chordata; Mammalia; Rodentia; Muridae. The transcript is spliced from 2 exons. The record is from RefSeq and is a predicted model, not a curated record.
GGCACGCACGCACGCACGCCAGGGCGCGCACUCUCCCAGGCUUCCUGAAGGCUCGUACCGCCGCAGCACAUACGUGGCGUCUUGUCAGCUCCUUACUCGGCUGUGAAAAUUUUCCAUUACACAUCUUAGUCAUCGAGUUUGUUCUCACUGUUUAAGAAACGAAUUAAGACGCGGAAGCGGGAAGAGAUGUUCCUUUAUCAAAUGGCUCUGCAAACGGAAGAAAUAACAGCUCAAGUACACAAGUGGUGUUCGUCCAGAUACUCAGGCUAAGCUGAGAAAACGUGUGGGUGUGAUGAAAGUGAACCUGAUGGGUAUUCAUAAGGAAGAAAUUAACUUUGAAAGAUCGUCUAUUAUGUGUCAAGGCCAAAUCUCACUUAUAGCAUUUGUAGUAUAUUUAUAAUACAUUAUAUCAUAUCAUAGAA